UUUUCUUUCAGACAUGUUUUGAGGAGCUAGCCUCACCCUGCAAAGAAAUGACCUGAUCCUCCCCCAAGUCACGUCAGAGUUGAGGAAGACGGUGACCAGACUGGAAGCACUAAAGCUUAGGGCAAAGGCAGGUUGGCAUGCUGGACAAGAUCCAGACCAUGCUUGCUCAUGAUGAGAGGAGAUUCCAGGGAAUAACACUGAAGGGGAAUCUGAAAGGCUUCAUGGACCUCACCCCAAUCCCCAGCUGAAGCAGCACAUGGAGGCGGCGAUCAACAUCGGCGUGGAU
Molecule: long non-coding RNA, 286 nt
Organism: Oncorhynchus keta (chum salmon)
Lineage: Eukaryota; Metazoa; Chordata; Actinopteri; Salmoniformes; Salmonidae
Exons: 2
Source: RefSeq, a predicted model, not a curated record